This 230-nucleotide long non-coding RNA is filed under the name Solanum tuberosum (potato). RNAcentral's name for it is "long non-coding RNA (STUB_LNC008112)". Lineage: Eukaryota; Viridiplantae; Streptophyta; Magnoliopsida; Solanales; Solanaceae. The record is from RNAcentral.
CCUCUAAGGCUACUGGCAAGAGUGUAAUGUCCAUGGACCACACUGCCAAUAAUCCUCAGGGACGAGAACAAUCAGCAGGAGGCAACAAAAAUGCAGAUAACAACAUUGAGGUAAGUUCUACAUGCACUAAUCAAUCCAAUUUAGCUAACACUCAUAAUGCAGGUAAGGUGCUCGUCAAAAUUCCUCAAAGCAAUGAAAUGAGCACACACCAAACUGCAGGGAAGAGGGAC